RNAcentral lists this ribosomal RNA (424 nucleotides) under uncultured bacterium. RNAcentral describes it as "bacterial SSU rRNA". It matches the Rfam family "Bacterial small subunit ribosomal RNA", at positions 356 to 773 of the family's 1533-position model. The record is from RNAcentral.
AGGGAAUUUUCGGCAAUGGGGGGAACCCUGACCGAGCGACGCCGCGUGAACGAAGAAGCACCUAGGUGCGUAAAGUUCUUUUAUUAGGGAAGAAUGUCAUAAAGAGGAAAUGCUUUAUGAGUGACGGUACCUAUUGAAUAAGCCCCGGCUAACUAUGUGCCAGCAGCCGCGGUAAUACAUAGGGGGCAAGCGUUAUCCGGAAUUAUUGGGCGUAAAGGGUGAGUAGGCGGUAAGUUAAGUUUAGGGUAUAAGCACAUUGCUCAACGAUGUGAGGCUCUAAAAACUGGCUAACUAGAGUUAGAUAGAGGCAAGUGGAAUUCCAUGUGUAGCGGUAAAAUGCGUAAAUAUAUGGAGGAACACCAGUGGCGAAGGCGGCUUGCUGGGUCUAUACUGACGCUGAGGCACGAAAGCGUGGGGAGCAAAC